GGUUCGAAUUUCUUUCUUCUUCUCAUGAAAUUUUUGAAUCUUCUUGUGAUCAUUGCCAUCUGUUUAUCUUUAUCCAUAUCCUCUUCGGACUGAAUCUCUACAUCUUGGAUGGUCGUGGCCUUGAGUGCUAUACUCUUCUUCUUUUUCAUUUCUUCUUCUUUGCCUUGGUUCAUGUUGAGCUCAUACGUCAUGAGCGAUCCGAUGAGUUCCUCCAAAGCUAACUUGUUUAGGCUCUUUACCUCUUGAGUAGUAGUUACCUUCGGCUCCCAAUUCU
This 274-nucleotide long non-coding RNA is filed under the name Elaeis guineensis (African oil palm). RNAcentral describes it as "long non-coding RNA (EGUI_LNC067386)". Lineage: Eukaryota; Viridiplantae; Streptophyta; Magnoliopsida; Arecales; Arecaceae. The record is from RNAcentral.